Molecule: ribosomal RNA, 321 nt
Filed under: uncultured Glissomonadida
Lineage: Eukaryota; Cercozoa; Glissomonadida
Description: SSU rRNA
Rfam family: Eukaryotic small subunit ribosomal RNA (bases 109-321)
Source: RNAcentral
GAUUUCUGGCACGGUGUGCCUGGCCCGCGCCGUUAGGUUGUGAGUGCUAGGUCGCGCCUGCCAUCCUUCUAGACAGCGGCUCUAUCCCUCACGGGACCGGAGUUCGCCAUCUAGAUCUUUUACUUUGAAAAAAUUAGAGUGUUUCAAGCAGGCUUUUGCUAUGAAUACAUUAGCAUGGAAUAAUCAACUAGGACUUCGGUUCUAUUUUGUUGGUUUCUAGGACUGAAGUAAUGAUUGAUAGGGAUAGUUGGGGGUGCUAGUAUUCAGCGGCCAGAGGUGAAAUUCUCGGAUUCGCUGAAGACUAACUAAUGCGAAAGCAUU